This 2947-nucleotide unclassified non-coding RNA is filed under the name Acanthaster planci (crown-of-thorns starfish). Its description in RNAcentral is "probable 3',5'-cyclic phosphodiesterase pde-5, transcript variant X2". The record is from RNAcentral. Lineage: Eukaryota; Metazoa; Echinodermata; Asteroidea; Valvatida; Acanthasteridae.
UGCUAGAUUGGGAUGUGAAAUAAGCAUUGAUAUGAAACUUGACAGUGAAGUUUAACGUUUCAAGCCUCGUGGAUGCAUGGAAAAGCGCGUUUGAGUUAAAAGUGAUUGUUGUGCGUACCCCUCACUUCCUACAUGUAAGCUAAUGAAGCUACAGGACGAAAGCCUACUGAGGAACGGGUGAAUGUAAAAUUUACAGUAGGCCCCAGGCUACGCAUGGAGGAAUAAAAACGCUAGCCUAACUGACUGCAGCUAAAAACCCAGUGUUAUUUUGAAGUCUCUGUGAUGGUGGCAUGUAUCAGCAGUCAGCACCAAUGAACAGGCAGAGGAUGUCAGGUCCUAGCAAGCAGACCGCCAGUCGGAGGCUGCCCCCUCUGCCUGCUCACAAGCGGAGCCCGGCCCCCACCAGCCCCCAUGCACCCAGCAAAGGCCACUCUGUCUACCUGGGGCCCAGUCCGCCGAGCCACCGAAUGGAAGGGAAGUAUGCCCAUAUCCAAGGGCAUUAUGGCUACGGGAUUGCCCGCUCAAACCAUGACCGUAUGAUAGUUACAGGGCAGUCAUCCACCCUGAGUAAUGGUAUUGGCCGGCAUCGUGGGAUUCUGUCACAUCCAUCAUUCAGCGAAUCCGUUGAUAUUAUGCCAGAUCACAUUCUCCAAGAGCAGGUGCGGAGCUACCUCAAUGAAAACCCGGCAUUUCUGGAGGAUUACGUGCUAAGUCACGUCGACUAUGACAUACUGGAGAGGUGGACCGGUCAGGUCCGUGCCCAAAAGCACAAAGUCACCUACAGCAGGUCCAGAAGUAUGUCUCGGGAGAACUCUGGGAAAAGUGGCUCAAGCCAGGGCACAGGUCCUCCGUCACCCAAGCCCCAGCACUGGAAGAAAGGCGUAACACUCCACGACAGGAAGAAACUAGUGCAUGAGUUGACCCAGGACUUGCAGCACUACGCCAGCCGGGUUCGCAUCUUGCAGGAAAUGGCAAAGUGUGUGGCUUCUCAGAUCCAGGCAGACGGGUUCACACUCUAUCUGGUGACUGAGAGAGGGACAGAACUGUAUGAAUAUAAUGCGGACCACAAGGGAGAGGAGCCUGGCAUUACCUGGCCCAUAGGAAAAGGCAAAUCCUUGGCAGGUUAUGUCGCCCAUACUCUGCAUACAGUCAAUACGACAGAGAUUCACACGGCUGAUUAUCCAGAGGGUGUGGUGGCAGAUGGUGUGACAGCAAGCACUGUUCUUGCUCUUCCCGUCUUACAAGCAAAUGAGGAUUUAGUAGGAGUGCUAGAAUUCUACCGUGACACUGAUCAAGGGCACGCCUCGUUCACCGAUGAAGCACAGGAAACAGCAAGUGCCUUCCUUGUGUGGGGGAGCAUUGCAGUUCAUUACGCUCAGAUGUGUGUCAGCAUGAGUAAGCAGAGAAAGCUGAAUGACUUCCUCUUGACUGUAACCAAGUCGAUUUUUCAAGACAUUAUCAGCAUGGAUACAGUCAUCAUGAAGAUCAUGAACUUUGCACAGAAGUUGGUGUCAGCGGACCGCGCUUCACUCUUCCUCGUCGACAACAAAACCAGAGAGUUGUAUGCUAGAAUAUUUGAUGUUGGCAACGGUGUUGGAAUGCAAGUUGUAGAAAAUGAACAAAAAGAAAUCAGGUUUUCCAUGGAUAAAGGUGUUGCUGGUUACGUAGCUUCCACUGGGCAAGUUCUUAACAUCCCUGAUGCCUAUCUAGAUGAACGCUUCAACAGGGAUGUUGAUCAACAGACCGGCUACGUUACUAAGACUAUUCUGUGUAUGCCGAUAUACAACAGAGGAAAUGUGAUCGGUGUGGUGCAGAUGGUGAACAAGAAACAAGGAUACUUUACCAAAGUUGAUGAACAAGCCUUUGAGACCUUCGCUGUAUUCUGUGGUUUGGCUCUGCAUCAUGCCAAGCUUUAUGAUAAAAUCCAUCGAUCGGAGCAGAAACACAAAGUUGCCCUGGAAGUGUUGAGCUACCAUAGUCAGUGCUAUGAAGAAGAUCUGGAGAACUUGAAAAAAGUUGCAUUGCCAGACCCCAUGCCUCAACUUGCAAGGUAUGACUUCUCCCCAUGGGGAUUGGAUGAAGAAGCCAAGCCACUCUACGUGCUGUGCAUGUUCCAGGAUAUGUUCACUCUGAACGGCAAUGAUGAUGACAACUCGCAGAGCUUUGAUUAUGAAGACUUGUGUCGGUUUAUCCUGACUGUGCGUAAGAACUACAGAAAGGUUCCUUACCACAAUUGGACACAUGCAUUCUCAGUCGCUCAUAGUGUCUACACCAUCAUUAAGACCUGCCAAGAAGAAGUUUUCACCCCCGUUGAGUGUCUGGCCCUGUUUGUGGCCUGUCUGUGCCACGACCUGGAUCACCGGGGCAAGAACAACUCCUUCAUGGUCAACAACGCCACGCCCUUAGCAGCGGUGUAUUCCACAUCUACCAUGGAGCAUCAUCACUUCAACAUGACCAUCACCAUUCUUCAGAAUGAUGGACACAAUAUCUUCAAGCACCUGACGUCAGACGAGUACAAGCAAGUACUGAGUGACAUACGACAUGCCAUCCUCGCCACCGAUCUGGCCCUGUUCUUUGGGAACAAGGCCAAACUGAAGGCCAUAGUGGAGGCGGGCCAGUUCUCAUGGGAAAACCAGGAGCACAGAUCAUUUGUGAGAGCACUGACUAUGACUGCAUGUGAUUUGGCGGCCAACACAAAGCCGUGGUUGAUACAGCAGCAAACCGUUAAGGUUAUCUUUGACGAGUUUUAUCAACAGAAAGCUGUUGAAGGCUAUUGCAAUGACGGCCUGCGACCUGUGUGCAGUUUGUAAACCGUUUGAUAUUCAGCGGCAGGUGGCCAGUGAGUGCUUCGAGGAAUUUUACACCCAGGGUGAUGAAGAGAAAGCCCAGGGUCGUAAUCCAAUUCCCAUGAUGGACCGCUCCAAGUCACAUGAACUGCCAACCAAUC